This 450-nucleotide ribosomal RNA is filed under the name uncultured bacterium. Its description in RNAcentral is "partial 16S ribosomal RNA". It matches the Rfam family "Bacterial small subunit ribosomal RNA", at positions 354 to 796 of the family's 1533-position model. The record is from RNAcentral.
GUGGGGAAUAUUCCGCAAUGGACGAAAGUCUGACGGAGCAACGCCGCGUGAGUGAUGAAGGUUUUCGGACUGUAAAGCUCUGUUGUUUAGGACGAAAGUGCCUGUUGCAAAUAGUUACAGGUAUUGACGGUACUGAACGAGGAAGCCACGGCUAACUACGUGCCAGCAGCCGCGGUAAUACGUAGGUGGCAAGCGUUGUCCGGAAUUAUUGGGCGUAAAGAGCAUGUAGGCGGGAAUCUAAGUCUGUUGUGAAAAUGCGGGGCUCAACCCCGUAUUGCGAUGGAAACUGGGUUUCUUGAGUGCAGGAGAGGAAAGGGGAAUUCCCAGUGUAGCGGUGAAAUGCGUAGAUAUUGGGAGGAACACCAGUGGCGAAGGCGCCUUUCUGGACUGUGUCUGACGCUGAGAUGCGAAAGCCAGGGUAGCGAACGGGAUUAGAUACCCUUGUAGUCC